This 225-nucleotide long non-coding RNA is filed under the name Sorghum bicolor (sorghum). RNAcentral's name for it is "long non-coding RNA (SBIC_LNC003527)". Lineage: Eukaryota; Viridiplantae; Streptophyta; Magnoliopsida; Poales; Poaceae. The record is from RNAcentral.
AUAUCUAACAAGGGUAUUAUUUAGUAAUCCUGUCACUUAAAUUCCAUAAAAUGGUUUACCUGAAAACUAUGGCUGAACUUGGAUCGUAUGAGUAUUCUGUUGCUAGUAAUAGACCAUCAAAAUGGAAGUCUAGAACUUAAAAGGGUAUUUAAAGGAACUGUAUCAAACUAUCGAUGUUACCGAGCUUAAAGGGUUGCUUGGUACACUUAGCAAAGUACAAGUGGG